GUGGGGAAUAUUCCGCAAUGGACGAAAGUCUGACGGAGCAACGCCGCGUGAGUGAUGAAGGUUUUCGGACUGUAAAGCUCUGUUGUUUAGGACGAAAGUGCCUGUUGCGAACAGUUACAGGUAUUGACGGUACUAAACGAGGAAGCCACGGCUAACUACGUGCCAGCAGCCGCGGUAAUACGUAGGUGGCAAGCGUUGUCCGGAAUUAUUGGGCGUAAAGAGCAUGUAGGCGGAGAUUUAAGUCUGUUGUGAAAAUGCGGGGCUCAACCCCGUAUUGCGAUGGAAACUGAAUUUCUUGAGUGCAGGAGAGGAAAGGGGAAUUCCAAGUGUAGCGGUGAAAUGCGUAGAUAUUGGGAGGAACACCAGUGGCGAAGGCGCCUUUCUGGACUGUGUCUGACGCUGAGAUGCGAAAGCCAGGGUAGCGAACGGGAUUAGAAACCCGUGUAGUCC
This 450-nucleotide ribosomal RNA is filed under the name uncultured bacterium. Its description in RNAcentral is "partial 16S ribosomal RNA". It matches the Rfam family "Bacterial small subunit ribosomal RNA", at positions 354 to 796 of the family's 1533-position model. The record is from RNAcentral.